CCUACGGGAGGCAGCAGUGGGGAAUAUUGGACAAUGAGGGGAACCCUGAUCCAGCGACGCCGCGUGAGUGAAGAAGUAUUUCGGUAUGUAAAGCUCUAUCAGCAGGGAAGAAAGUGAUGACGGUUCCUCACUAAGAAGCCCCGGCUAACUACGUGCCAGCAGCCGCGGUAAUACGGAGGGGGCAAGCGUUAUGCGGAUUUACGGGGGGGAAAGGGAGCGUAGACGGCGAUGCACGUCUGAAGUGAAAGGCGGGGGCCUAACCCCCGGACUGCUUUGGAAACUGGGUGGCUGGAGUGCAGGAGAGGUAAGCGGAAUUCCUAGUGGAGCGGUGAAAUGCGUAGAUAUUAGGAGGAACACCAGUGGCGAAGGCGGCUUACUGGACUGUAACUGACGUUGAGGCUCGAAAGCGUGGGGAGCAAACAGGAUUAGAUACCCUAGUAGUC
Molecule: ribosomal RNA, 443 nt
Filed under: uncultured bacterium
Lineage: Bacteria
Description: partial 16S ribosomal RNA
Rfam family: Bacterial small subunit ribosomal RNA
Source: RNAcentral